CCUACGGGUGGCUGCAGUGGGGAAUAUUGGACAAUGGGCGAAAGCCUGAUCCAGCCAUGCCGCGUGUGUGAAGAAGGCCUUCGGGUUGUAAAGCACUUUCAGUGGGGAAGAAAGCCUUGGGGCUAAUACCCUCGAGGAAGGACAUCACCCACAGAAGAAGCACCGGCUAACUCCGUGCCAGCAGCCGCGGUAAUACGGAGGGUGCGAGCGUUAAUCGGACUUACUGGGCGUAAAGCGCGCGUAGGCGGUCUGAUAAGCCGGUUGUGAAAGCCCCGGGCUCAACCUGGGAACGGCAUCCGGAACUGUCAGGCUAGAGUGCAGGAGAGGAAGGUAGAAUUCCCGGUGUAGCGGUGAAAUGCGUAGAGAUCGGGAGGAAUACCAGUGGCGAAGGCGGCCUUCUGGACUGACACUGACGCUGAGGUGCGAAAGCGUGGGUAGCAAACAGGAUUAGAUACCCUUGUAGUC
RNAcentral lists this ribosomal RNA (465 nucleotides) under Vreelandella stevensii. RNAcentral describes it as "partial 16S ribosomal RNA". It matches the Rfam family "Bacterial small subunit ribosomal RNA", at positions 338 to 795 of the family's 1533-position model. Lineage: Bacteria; Pseudomonadati; Pseudomonadota; Gammaproteobacteria; Oceanospirillales; Halomonadaceae. The record is from RNAcentral.